AUCGAUCUUGGCUCAAACAACUCUAGCCAUUUCGGCUUUAGUUGGUAUACCAAAAUCAUUUUUUCAGUAUCGAUCUG
Molecule: ribosomal RNA, 77 nt
Filed under: Saksenaea vasiformis
Lineage: Eukaryota; Fungi; Mucoromycota; Mucoromycetes; Mucorales; Saksenaeaceae
Description: partial 28S ribosomal RNA
Source: RNAcentral